GGCUUAGAGUUUGAUCAUGGCUCAGGACGAACGCUGGCGGCGCGCCUAACACAUGCAAGUCGAACGGAGUUGAGAGGAGCUUGCUUUUCUUGACUUAGUGGCGAACGGGUGAGUAACGCGUGAGGAACCUGCCUCAAAGAGGGGGACAACAGUUGGAAACGACUGCUAAUACCGCAUAAGCCCACGGUCCCGCAUGGGAGAGAGGGAAAAGGAGCAAUCCGCUUUGAGAUGGCCUCGCGUCCGAUUAGCUAGUUGGUGAGGUAACGGCCCACCAAGGCAACGAUCGGUAGCCGGACUGAGAGGUUGAACGGCCACAUUGGGACUGAGACACGGCCCAGACUCCUACGGGAGGCAGCAGUGGGGAAUAUUGCACAAUGGGGGAAACCCUGAUGCAGCGACGCCGCGUGGAGGAAGAAGGUCUUCGGAUUGUAAACUCCUGUUGUUGGGGAAAAAGAGGAUGGUACCCAACAAGGAAGUGACGGCUAACUACGUGCCAGCAGCCGCGGUAAAACGUAGGUCACGAGCGUUGUCCGGAAUUACUGGGUGUAAAGGGAGCGCAGGCGGGUAUGCAAGUUGGGAGUGAAAUACAUGGGCUCAACCCAUGAACUGCUCUCAAAACUGUGUAUCUUGAGUAGUGCAGAGGUAGGCG
This 649-nucleotide ribosomal RNA is filed under the name uncultured bacterium. Its description in RNAcentral is "bacterial SSU rRNA". It matches the Rfam family "Bacterial small subunit ribosomal RNA", at positions 1 to 663 of the family's 1533-position model. The record is from RNAcentral.